GCGAGAGUGGCGGAACUGGUAGACGCGCUGGAUUUAGGAUCCAGUGAUGAUUCAUCGUGGGGGUUCGAGUCCCCCCUCUCGCA
RNAcentral lists this transfer RNA (83 nucleotides) under Candidatus Eiseniibacteriota bacterium. RNAcentral describes it as "tRNA-Leu". It matches the Rfam family "tRNA". Rfam says of the family: Transfer RNA (tRNA) molecules are approximately 80 nucleotides in length. Their secondary structure includes four short double-helical elements and three loops (D, anti-codon, and T loops). Lineage: Bacteria; Candidatus Eiseniibacteriota. The record is from RNAcentral.